Molecule: long non-coding RNA, 701 nt
Filed under: Mus musculus (house mouse)
Lineage: Eukaryota; Metazoa; Chordata; Mammalia; Rodentia; Muridae
Description: RIKEN cDNA 1300002E11 gene
Source: RNAcentral
UGGGGUGGGUGUCCAGCGCUGUAGGAGGAACGCGGUGGGAGGAAGGCUUGCGGGCGUGCGGACUCGGCUUCGGGCCGAGCGCUUUGAAGAAUUUUGCAGAACCCUGCUACCUACAGACUCUGCCAUGGAUGUCAUGUAAAGAAACCCCGGAUGUAGUAACGGACAAAACAUGAGUCAGUUUGUGUUGUGGCAUUCAGAUCUGAACACACUGGGAGAGAUUGUGGAGGACCCGAGGAACUUACGGAGUUUGUUUGUUUUCUGUCCACUGUGACUCCAGAAGUGAUUCUGAAUGGAGAAGACGUAGGACCGGUCAGUGGUAGGAUGGACUGUGCUUGGAAGACAGGCACCUGGAGCUCUCAGUUUGGACUAGGCUGGCUGGCAGUAAGCCCCCAGGAUCCUCCUGUUCUCACACUAGGCAUCAAACACCAAGAUUGUGAAGACCAUGGCCCAUCCUUAUGCAUUCAAGAGUUGAGUGUGGAUGACUUGGAGCUGAAAAACCCCUUCAGAAGCUUCAUGUGUCACGUGCAUUGAAGCUCUGCAUUAAACCCGCUCGCACAAGCACUCACAGUUAAGAGAUUACCUCAAAUCUGAAAUAAGGCUUUGGACUUGUGAACAGUAUUGGAAUUGUUGAAGAAUAUGGGGACUUUUGAAGUUGUCCUGGACAUAUGUUUGCAUUAUAAGAUGACAAUGAAGGCUGCCAG